Diceros bicornis minor is the source of this 479-nucleotide non-coding RNA. The record is from the annotation of a RefSeq genome assembly. NCBI's taxonomy places the organism in Eukaryota, Metazoa, Chordata, Mammalia, Perissodactyla, Rhinocerotidae.
GCCUGGUGAUGGCUCCCCAAGGUGUCCUGUCCCAGGUGCAGCUGCAGGAAUCGGGCCCAGGACUGGUGAAGCCCUCGCAGACCCUCACCCUCACCUGCACUGUCUCUGGAGUCUCCAUCACAACCAGCUAUUACUGCUGGAGCUGGAUCCGCCAGCCACCAGGGAAGGGGCUGGAGUGGAUUGGGGGCAUAUAUUACAGUGGUAGCACUUACUACAGCUCAUCCCUCAAGAGCCGCACCUCCAUCUCCAGAGACACAUCCAAGAAUCAAUUCUCCCUGCAAUUGAGCUCCGUGACCACUGAGGACACGGCCGUGUAUUACUAUGCAAGAGACACAGUGAGGGGAAGUCAGCUUGAGGCCAUGCCCUGUGCUCCAAGCAAGGACAUCCGGGAAUGUCUAUGCAGAGAGGACCACCUGCUGACCCAGUCCCCUGCCCGGGGUAUCCCAGAAGAAAAAGGAUUGAAUGGCUGUGGAGUGUGA